AACCUUAUGGACCUGCGGGCGUAUACCUGCGGAAGGAUCAUUACCGAGUGCGGGCCCUCCGGGUCCAACCUCCCACCCGUGUCUACCGUACCUUGUUGCUUCGGCGGGCCCGCCCGCAGUGGCCGCCCCGGGGGGCUCUCGCCCCCGGGCCCGUGCCCGCCGGAGACACCAGCCUGAACCCUGUGAAGGUUGCCGUCUGAGUGGAUUGAUCGAAUCGUUAAAACUUUUAACAACGGAUCU
This 240-nucleotide unclassified non-coding RNA is filed under the name soil metagenome. RNAcentral's name for it is "partial contains 5.8S ribosomal RNA, internal transcribed spacer 2, and large subunit ribosomal RNA". The record is from RNAcentral.